Molecule: long non-coding RNA, 546 nt
Filed under: Androctonus crassicauda
Lineage: Eukaryota; Metazoa; Arthropoda; Arachnida; Scorpiones; Buthidae
Source: RNAcentral
GGGAGGAUAAUUAGAAAAUCAUCAGCAUAGACUACAUCGAUCCCUUCUUUUUGGUGUAGAUACCGCUUAAAGCAGAAAACGUCCCGUCUUACAUCAGUAAUCGCUACGUUGAGGCAUCGUUGUUUACGGAUGCCUGACUGAUGUAAGACGGGAUUUUUUCCGCUUUAAUUCCACUUUUAUUACUGAUGUAAGACGGGAUGUUUUCCGCUUUAAGCGGUAUCUACAACAAAGCGACGGGAUCGACGUAGUCUGUGCUGUUGAUUUUCUAAUUAUCCUCCCUUCCUACGCAGGAUUUGUUGCAUAUCACCAACGAAAGAUAAAGGAACGAUUUAGGAAAAAACUUAAGUGGCUAAUCGAACAACAAAUAAAAAUGAAACAGAGGAAUAGGUCCCCUGUUACACUUUAUAUGGUUAUGGAUGGAAUAACUUUACCUCCUUUCGUACAUGAGGUUUUAGCUAUGGGCCCGAACACUUUAGUCCAGAAUAUCCUCACCUGGCAAAAUAUGGCGAUACAGUUAGAACUGGCAUUAUCCGUUUGUCACCCUGU